RNAcentral lists this transfer RNA (85 nucleotides) under Hippoglossus stenolepis (Pacific halibut). Its description in RNAcentral is "tRNA-Ser". It matches the Rfam family "tRNA". From Rfam's summary of the family: Transfer RNA (tRNA) molecules are approximately 80 nucleotides in length. Their secondary structure includes four short double-helical elements and three loops (D, anti-codon, and T loops). Further hydrogen bonds mediate the characteristic L-shaped molecular structure. tRNAs have two regions of fundamental functional importance: the anti-codon, which is responsible for specific mRNA codon recognition, and the 3' end, to which the tRNAs corresponding amino acid is attached (by aminoacyl-tRNA synthetases). tRNAs cope with the degeneracy of the genetic code in two manners: having more than one tRNA (with a specific anti-codon) for a particular amino acid; and 'wobble' base-pairing, i.e. permitting non-standard base-pairing at the 3rd anti-codon position. Lineage: Eukaryota; Metazoa; Chordata; Actinopteri; Pleuronectiformes; Pleuronectidae. The record is from RNAcentral.
AUCAGAAUGGCCCAGCGGUCUCUAAGGCGCUGCGUUCAGGUCUGAUCUCCGUUGGAGGCGUGGGUUCAAAUCCCACUUUCUGACA